RNAcentral lists this ribosomal RNA (1374 nucleotides) under metagenome. Its description in RNAcentral is "bacterial LSU rRNA". It matches the Rfam family "Bacterial large subunit ribosomal RNA", at positions 1475 to 2925 of the family's 2925-position model. The record is from RNAcentral.
CAUUUGAAGUCUCAGAGCCGGGUGUUGGUUCCGGUAGAAAUCGAGGGAAAUUAGUGCCGAAGUCUGAGAUGGAAGAUGGCGAGAAAAGCUGUGUGUAUUUCUGAGGUGCCCGUACCGCAAACCGACACAGGUAGGUAGGAAGAAGAUUCUAAGGCCAACGGGAGAAGGGUUGUUAAGGAACUCGGCAAAUUGACCCCGUAACUUCGGGAGAAGGGGUGCUCCAGAGAUGGAGCCGCAGAGAAUCGGCCCAAGCAACUGUUUACCAAAAACACAGGUUUGUGCUAAAUCGAAAGAUGACGUAUACGAGCUGACGCCUGCCCGGUGCUGGAAGGUUAAGAGGAGAUGUGCAAGCAUUGAAUCGAAGCCCCAGUGAACGGCGGCCGUAACUAUAACGGUCCUAAGGUAGCGAAAUUCCUUGUCAGGUAAGUUCUGACCCGCAUGAAAGGCGUAAUGAUUUGGGCACUGUCUCAACAGCCCGCCCGGCGAAAUUGUAGUACCGGUGAAGAUGCCGGUUACCCGCGACAAGACGGAAAGACCCCAUGGAGCUUUACUGUAGCCUAAUAUUGGGUUUCGAUGUUGCAUGCACAGGAUAGAUGGGACACAGGGAAACAAUCGCUUUGGCGGUUGCGGAGUGGCCGUUGGGAUACCAUCCUUGCGAUAUUGGAAUUCUAACCUGCGGCUCUGAAUCGAGUCGGGGGACAUUGUUAGGUGGGCAGUUUGACUGGGGCGGUCGCCUCCUAAAAAGUAACGGAGGCGUUCAAAGGUUCGCUCAGCUUGAACGGAAAUCAAGCAAAAGAGUGCAAACGCAGAAGCGAGCCUAACUGCGAGACUGACGGGUCGAGCAGUAACGAAAGUUGUAGUUAGUGAUCCGGUGGUAUGUGAGUGGAAAUGCCAUCGCUCAUCGGAUAAAAGUUACCCUGGGGAUAACAGGCUGAUCUCCCCCAAGAGUCCACAUCGACGGGGAGGUUUGGCACCUCGAUGUCGGCUCAUCGCAUCCUGGGGCUGUAUUCGGUCCCAAGGGUUUGGCUGUUCGCCAAUUAAAGCGGUACGCGAGCUGGGUUCAGAACGUCGUGAGACAGUUCGGUCCCUAUCUGUUGUGGGCGCAGGAUAUUUGAUGGGAGCUGUCCCUAGUACGAGAGGACCGGGACGGACGUACCUCUGGCGCACCAGUUGUUCCGCCAGGAGCAUAGCUGGGCAACUACGUACGGAUCGGAUAAACGCUGAAAGCAUCUAAGCGUGAAGCCGACCCAAAGAUAAGAUAUCCCGCUGAUUCAAUCAGGUAAGAUCCCUUGAAGACUACAAGGUUGAUAGGCACGAUGUGUAAGUGGAGUGAUCCAUUCAGCAAGAGUGUACUAAUAGAUCGAGGGCUUGACC